Molecule: unclassified non-coding RNA, 389 nt
Filed under: Hevea brasiliensis (rubber tree)
Lineage: Eukaryota; Viridiplantae; Streptophyta; Magnoliopsida; Malpighiales; Euphorbiaceae
Source: RNAcentral
UCAGUCCUUAAAAAAACAUAGCACUCCUCUCCCACCAAUACACAUAAAAUACAGACAAAUAAGCAAAAUAAUAUAACCAACUGAAAUACUUGCUUUCUGCCAAGGAAAAUGAUCUGUUAGAACGGAGGGAGCACAAGGAUUGUGUUUGAAAUCUAAACAGUCUAGCUGACUUAAAAAAAUGACCAUCCCACGUUAUGUUUCCUGCUUAUUUUCAAAGAAAGCAUAUAGAGCUACAGAUAGAAAAAAAAUUGCAUGAGGUGUCAGGAUGGACUGGGAAAGCACAAGCUCUGUUCCAUUUUCCCAUAACAAUGACAAUAUGAAAGAAAUCUUGAGAAGCAAUUUUAAGAUAUUCUAUAGACAGAGAAACUUUACAUUCUCUAAUAUUGGUG